UGCGUAGGCGGCUUGGUAAGUCACGUGUGAAAGGCCGGGGCUCAACCCCCGGAUCUGCAUGUGAGACUGCCUGGCUCGAGCACGGUAGAGGCGGGCGGAAUUCCUGGUGUAGCGGUGGAAUGCGUAGAUAUCAGGAAGAACACCGGUGGCGAAGGCGGCUCGCUGGGCCGUUGCUGACGCUGAGGCACGAAAGCGUGGGGAGCAAACAGGAUUAGAUACCCUGGUAGUCCACGCCCUAAACGAUGGACACUAGGCGUCGGGGGGAGCGACCCUCCCGGUGCCGUCGCUAACGCAAUAAGUGUCCCGCCUGGGGAGUACGGCCGCAAGGCUGAA
RNAcentral lists this ribosomal RNA (333 nucleotides) under uncultured bacterium. RNAcentral describes it as "bacterial SSU rRNA". It matches the Rfam family "Bacterial small subunit ribosomal RNA", at positions 568 to 898 of the family's 1533-position model. The record is from RNAcentral.